UUACGCACCUCGCCACUCACCUGUCUGGCCGCGAUAUCGCCUGGUGAGUGACUUGUUGAGUGACUCGGUCGUUUGAGUAACUUCACUCCGUCACGCGCUCUGGCGAGGUGAAGACGCACACCCCGCAGUCCGUUUUCUAUUGAGCUCGCGUCCUGGAGACAGAAAACGGUCCGCCGAUACACAACCGAAAGCGAUUAUUAUAUUGGAAAUUAUUUUAAAUUGUGCUUCAAGUCUUAGUUUUAGAACCCGAUUUUACGAACCUAUUGUAUGCCCAUUACAUAUAAAGAAUGGAAAAACGUAAAACAGACUUCUGAAAAACAACGACUGUGUUUCUGAUAUAAAUUCCAAAACGGUGAAGUGACACGCAGAAAAGGUUAAAUAAAAAAUAUGCGCCGAAGACAUGGCAUGAUUUCUAGAUAAGAAUAUGCCAGACACAGAAACUUAAAAGGAAGUAGCACCACAAAAACAAUGGAAACAUCCUACCAGUGUUGUCAGCACUAGGCUAUCCACCUCUUCAGCACUGCCGAAGGAGCGAGGCAGCCGAACCACAGGAGUCUCCAAG
Penaeus monodon (black tiger shrimp) is the source of this 562-nucleotide long non-coding RNA. RefSeq lists it as uncharacterized. The record is from RefSeq and is a predicted model, not a curated record. Lineage: Eukaryota; Metazoa; Arthropoda; Malacostraca; Decapoda; Penaeidae. The transcript has 3 exons.